Molecule: ribosomal RNA, 467 nt
Filed under: uncultured bacterium
Lineage: Bacteria
Description: partial 16S ribosomal RNA
Rfam family: Bacterial small subunit ribosomal RNA
Source: RNAcentral
GACGAACGCUGGCGGCGUGCUUAACACAUGCAAGUCGAACGGAAAGGCCCUGCUUCUGUGGGGUGCUCGAGUGGCGAACGGGUGAGUAACACGUGAGUAACCUGCCCUUGACUUUGGGAUAACUUCAGGAAACUGGGGCUAAUACCGGAUAGGAGCUCCUGCUGCAUGGUGGGGGUUGGAAAGUUUCGGCGGUUGGGGAUGGACUCGCGGCUUAUCAGCUUGUUGGUGGGGUAGUGGCUUACCAAGGCUUUGACGGGUAGCCGGCCUGAGAGGGUGACCGGCCACAUUGGGACUGAGAUACGGCCCAGACGCAUACGGGAGGCAGCAGUGGGGAAUAUUGCACAAUGGGCGGAAGCCGGAUGCAGCAACGCCGGGUGCGGGAUGACGGCCUUCGGGUUGGAAACCGCUUUCGCCUGUGACGAAGCGUGAGUGACGGUAAUGGGUAAAGAAGCACCGGCUAACUACGU